GACGAACGCUGGCGGCGUGCUUAACACAUGCAAGUCGAACGGUAAGGCCCUUCGGGGUACACGAGUGGCGAACGGGUGAGUAACACGUGGGUGAUCUGCCCUGCACUUCGGGAUAAGCCUGGGAAACUGGGUCUAAUACCGGAUAGGACCACUGCCUGCAUGGGUGGGGGUGGAAAGCUUUUGCGGUGUGGGAUGGGCCCGCGGCCUAUCAGCUUAUUGGUGGGGUGAUGGCCUACCAAGGCGACGACGGGUAGCCGGCCUGAGAGGGUGACCGGCCACACUGGGACUGAGAUACGGCCCAGACUCCUACGGGAGGCAGCAGUGGGGAAUAUUGCAUAAUGGGCGCAAGCCUGAUGCAGCGACGCCGCGUGAGGGAUGACGGCCUUCGGGUUGUAAACCUCUUUCAGCACCGACGAAGCGCAAGUGACGGUAGGUGCAGAGGAAGGACCGGCCAACUACGUGCCAGCCGCCGCCGUAA
This 478-nucleotide ribosomal RNA is filed under the name uncultured bacterium. RNAcentral describes it as "partial 16S ribosomal RNA". It matches the Rfam family "Bacterial small subunit ribosomal RNA", at positions 28 to 523 of the family's 1533-position model. The record is from RNAcentral.